AAUGAACGCUGGCGGCAGGCCUAACAUAUGCAAGUCGAACGGGACCUUCGGGUCUAGUGGCGGACGGGUGAGUAACGGGUGGGAACGUGCCCUUUGGUUCGGAAUAGCCCCGGGAAACGGGGAGUAAUACCGGAAAAGACAUACGUGGGAAAGAUUUAUCGCCAAAGGAUCGGCCAGCGUUGGAUUAGGUAGUUGGGGAGGUAAUGGCUCACCAAGCCGAGGAUCCAUAGCUGGUUUGAGAGGAUGAUCAGCCACACUGGGACGGAGACACGGCCCAGAAUCCUACGGGAGGCAGCAGUGGGGAAUCUUAGACAAUGGGGAAAACCCUGAUCUAGCCAUGCCGCGUGAUCGAUGAAGUCCUUAGGGUUGUAAAGAUCUUUCAGUGGGGAAGAUAAUGACUGUACCCACAGAAGAAGCCCCGGCUAACUCCGUGCCAGCAGCCGCCGUAA
This 449-nucleotide ribosomal RNA is filed under the name uncultured bacterium. Its description in RNAcentral is "partial 16S ribosomal RNA". It matches the Rfam family "Bacterial small subunit ribosomal RNA", at positions 29 to 523 of the family's 1533-position model. The record is from RNAcentral.